Molecule: small RNA, 461 nt
Filed under: Pongo abelii (Sumatran orangutan)
Lineage: Eukaryota; Metazoa; Chordata; Mammalia; Primates; Hominidae
Description: retained intron
Source: RNAcentral
CCAGGAAGGGACUCCAGUCUGCCAGACCCGGGGCAGAAGCCCUUCUCGGACGAGCUUUCACGGAGAAGCUCAAAUACCAGGGGCUCCGGAAGGUCGGAAGCCUCCAAGCUGCCCAGGAAAAGACCAAAGAGAUAUAAACUACAAAAGUUCUGGGACCCCCAGGUCUUUGGAGCCUGAUGAGGGGACAGCUUCAUGGGCUUCCUCUCCAGUCUGCAGCCCAGUGCAGGGCAAACGCCCCUCUCCCUCUCCGGGGGCCAUUAGCUUCUCCUCAGUCCAUCAGCAGAGUCAGCCAGUCACAGCCACGGUGGCCCCCUUCCAGUACAGGUUGCAAACUGACCAGAAACCUGGCCCCCUCUCCCAGGGCAGCUGGGCCCUUGAUGGCUAUGCUGAGCCCCUCCAUGAGACUGAGGAGAGCUUCUCCUGCAUGGGUAAGUGAUCUGGGGGAGACUUCCUCCUAGGGU